GGCUCCGGCCACAUCAGCCUGAAGGCGCCCGAUCUCGUCUGAUCUCGGAAGCUAAGCAGGGUCGGGCCUGCUUAGUAUAAAAAAAAAAAAAAAAAAAAAGAACUGGACAUGGAACAA
This 117-nucleotide ribosomal RNA is filed under the name Bos indicus x Bos taurus (hybrid cattle). Lineage: Eukaryota; Metazoa; Chordata; Mammalia; Artiodactyla; Bovidae. The record is from RNAcentral.